RNAcentral lists this ribosomal RNA (253 nucleotides) under uncultured bacterium. Its description in RNAcentral is "partial 16S ribosomal RNA". It matches the Rfam family "Bacterial small subunit ribosomal RNA", at positions 524 to 776 of the family's 1533-position model. The record is from RNAcentral.
UACGUAGGGGGCAAGCGUUGUCCGGAAUCAUUGGGCGUAAAGCGCGUGUAGGCGGUUCGGUAAGUCUGCUGUGAAAGUCCAGGGCUCAACCCUGGGAUGCCGGUGGAUACUGUCGGACUAGAGUACGGAAGAGGCGAGUGGAAUUCCCGGUGUAGCGGUGAAAUGCGCAGAUAUCGGGAGGAACACCAAUGGCGAAGGCAGCUCGCUGGGACGUCACUGACGCUGAGACGCGAAAGCGUGGGGAGCAAACAGG